GACGAACGCUGGCGGCGUGCCUAAUACAUGCAAGUAGAACGCUGAAGAGAGGAGCUUGCUCUUCUUGGAUGAGUUGCGAACGGGUGAGUAACGCGUAGGUAACCUGCCUUGUAGCGGGGGAUAACUAUUGGAAACGAUAGCUAAUACCGCAUAACAAUGGAUGACGCAUGUCAUUUAUUUGAAAGGGGCAAUUGCUCCACUACAAGAUGGACCUGCGUUGUAUUAGCUAGUAGGUGAGGUAAUGGCUCACCUAGGCGACGAUACAUAGCCGACCUGAGAGGGUGAUCGGCCACACUGGGACUGAGACACGGCCCAGACUCCUACGGGAGGCAGCAGUAGGGAAUCUUCGGCAAUGGGGGCAACCCUGACCGAGCAACGCCGCGGGAGUGAAGAAGGUUUUCGGAUCGUAAAGCUCUGUUGUAAGUCAAGAACGGGUGUGAGAGUGGAAAGUUCACACUGUGACGGUAGCUUACCAGAAAGGGACGGCUAACUACGUG
Molecule: ribosomal RNA, 497 nt
Filed under: uncultured bacterium
Lineage: Bacteria
Description: partial 16S ribosomal RNA
Rfam family: Bacterial small subunit ribosomal RNA
Source: RNAcentral